Non-coding RNA from Caenorhabditis elegans, 131 nucleotides. The record is from Ensembl. NCBI's taxonomy places the organism in Eukaryota, Metazoa, Nematoda, Chromadorea, Rhabditida, Rhabditidae.
UGGCGGGCGUUUGUAUCCCAGUGUCGAGGGCUGUAUUCAAGGGAGUUGACAUCAACCCUGUAUUAUUUCGGAUGUUGGUAUUGCAAAGAUGACAAAGAUAAUGACAAAGAUAAGGUGUGUAUAAUUAACUC